RNAcentral lists this ribosomal RNA (253 nucleotides) under uncultured bacterium. Its description in RNAcentral is "partial 16S ribosomal RNA". It matches the Rfam family "Bacterial small subunit ribosomal RNA", at positions 524 to 776 of the family's 1533-position model. The record is from RNAcentral.
UACGUAGGAUGCAAGCGUUGUCCGGAAUUAUUGGGCGUAAAGAGCGCGCAGGCGGCCUAUCAAGUCAGAUGUGAAAUAACCAGGCUUAACCUGGUGGGGUCAUUUGAAACUGGUAGGCUAGAGUACAGCAGAGGAUAGCGGAAUUCCCGGUGUAGUGGUGAAAUGCGUAGAUAUCGGGAGGAACACCAGUGGCGAAGGCGGCUAUCUGGGCUGCAACUGACGCUGAGGCGCGAAGGCUAGGGGAGCAAACAGG